This 466-nucleotide long non-coding RNA is filed under the name Apteryx owenii (little spotted kiwi). Its description in RNAcentral is "lncRNA (ENSAOWG00000013580.1)". The record is from RNAcentral. Lineage: Eukaryota; Metazoa; Chordata; Aves; Apterygiformes; Apterygidae.
GUUGACAGUCGCGAGGGGCUGCUGGGAAGACUCGAGCCUGUCCCUCCUCGGCCAAUAGGAGAGCGGCUUGGGAAGCUCGCUCUCCAAUAGCGGCCCGCGUUGUUGGCAUGUCCUGAGGGGCGGGCUAAGCGCCGGGGUGGCCGGUAACGAGCAGGCAGGUUGAUUUUCUGUGAUAUCACUGAGUUGGAUCAACAUUGAAAAUGGAAUAAUAACCAGCCUUUUCACUCUCCAUGACUUAUACCAAAAGUUUGCCUGCGUUCACAUGUCCACUUUCCAAAAGAUGAAUUUCCAGCAAUUGUAAGAGAUCCCAUUAGGGGCUGUCUGACAGAUCAAAAAGCAAGACUGCAGAAAUUAUGAGAUUGAAAAGUAGAGAAACUGAAGAACAUGAAGAUGAUUGCAAGUGAUAAGGAAAUAAUAUUUUAACAAGUUAUUUCUUGUCAGCUGGGCUAUGGUAACUGACACAGCC